AUAGUGAGCUAUUCCUGGAAAAGCCCUUGCAUCAAUCAGUGUCCCAACAGGAAAUGGUUGGCAUCCCAGAUGAAGAUGAUAAAGGGACUGUUUACAAAGUUUUGGGGAAACUCCAAGGAAUAGUUUAAUAGCCCAGUCCUGUUACCACCCCUGCACCCAAAGUGACAAGGGGAGGGGGUGGAGACUGGGACAUGGGAAAAUCAUCUAGGGAAGGAUACCUUUACUGGAUCAGCAGCCUUCAGUUGGAGGAACACAGCCAGCUCCUGGUGACCCCACAGGGAGAGAGCGGGAGCACUAAGGAUUCCAAACUCAGUCCUCCUGAUCUUCAUCAGUAUUCGUCAUUGGCCAAACAAAUAACUGAAAUUCAGAGGGCAAGAGAGCUCAUUGUUAUCUAAACAGGUCAGCAUGGCAGACAGCGAGGCGAAGAGGGAAGGAAGGUGGAUUUGGAAGAACAAACGGGAGUGACCUAGUGCAGCCCUGAUAAACCCGCUGGGAGCUACCAGAGUAUUUGACCUUGGGCACAGCUGGGGUGGCCCCGAUGGCGCUGCUGUCUGCUGAUGGUCUCCACAGCUUCCCCAGCGAGGCCUUCCUGGAAGGAGUGCUGAGCAGCAAAGCUCUGUGGUCACCACUCAGGACAAAGGGGAACCAGCUGAACAGAGCCUUUCAUGUGACAACAAAAAACGACCUGGCUCAAACAUCACGACAGGCAUCUGUGGAGCCUGGGAAAUGACCUUUCUCAUGGGGAGAACACAGAACACACAAAGCUUUCUCUUAAAAGUCUACAAAAUUAUAAUCUGAUAACAACAGAACGUUUUGGUAUUUUGAGUAAUAGGUGUCACAUCGGAAUUGAUAUUUGCCAAAUUUGGCAUGAUAAUUGAAUGCUUUUUGCUUAUUUAUAUUUCAUAUUUUAGUUGUUUUCUAAUAACCAAAAACAUUUGUGUAUUUUUAAUAAUAGUAGAGGUAAAUGAAAUUUUACAUGUCAGUAAAAAAACUGAAAGAUGAUGCUUGUAAUUUCAAGUCGAUUAAAGAAAAUUAUUAAUAAAACAAUAAAAUACAAAUUAUACAUUUUAUAUUGUGAUACUUAAAGUAGAUGACCUGGUUUAUCCCUGAAGAGAAAGCAUGGAUGCAUAAACCAGACCAUAUUGUAAAUAUUUCAAAUUCAUUGGUAAACAUUGUUUUAAGAAGGUGAUUAGCAAAUAUUGUUUCAAGAAGGUGAUUAAGAAGGUGAUGCAAAAUUUGGAGUACUUUCUGUUUUGUAUUUUUCGUGACUAUUUGUGAGCACUUGGUGCUUAAGACACACUCAAAGAGGUACUGACAAUUUAUCAUAUUCUAAAGCAAUAAAACAGGUUGAAAAUAUCUAA
Molecule: long non-coding RNA, 1361 nt
Filed under: Homo sapiens (human)
Lineage: Eukaryota; Metazoa; Chordata; Mammalia; Primates; Hominidae
Description: ARGLU1 divergent transcript
Source: RNAcentral